RNAcentral lists this ribosomal RNA (529 nucleotides) under uncultured fungus. RNAcentral's name for it is "SSU rRNA". It matches the Rfam family "Eukaryotic small subunit ribosomal RNA", at positions 569 to 1099 of the family's 1831-position model. The record is from RNAcentral. Lineage: Eukaryota; Fungi.
AGCAGCCGCGGUAAUUCCAGCUCCAAUAGCGUAUAUUAAAGUUGUUGCAGUUAAAAAGCUCGUAGUUGAAUUUCGGGGUUAGUAGUCUGGUCAUGCCUCGGGUAUGUACUGGGCUCACUGAUUCCUCCCUCCUGAUGAACCGUAAUGCCAUUAAUUUGGUGUUGCGGGGAAACUGGACUGUUACUUUGAAAAAAUUAGAGUGUUUAAAGCAGGCUAACGCUUGAAUACAUUAGCAUGGAAUAAUGAAAUAGGACGUUCGAUCCUAUUUUGUUGGUUUCUAGGAUUGACGUAAUGAUUAAUAGGAAUAGUUGGGGGCAUUAGUAUUCAAUUGUCAGAGGUGAAAUUCUUGGAUUUAUUGAAGACUAACUACUGCGAAAGCAUUUGCCAAGGAUGUUUUCAUUAAUCAAGAACGAAAGUUAGGGGAUCGAAGGCGAUCAGAUACCGUCGUAGUCUUAACCAUAAACUAUAGCCGACUAGGGAUCGGAUGAUGUAAUUUUUUAAUGUACUCAUUCGCGCCUUACGGGAAACC